UACGAAGGGGGCUAGCGUUGUCCGGAAUCACUGGGCGUAAAGCGCACGUAGGCGGCUUCUUAAGUCAGGGGUGAAAUCCUGGAGCUCAACUCCAGAACUGCCUUUGAUACUGAGGAGCUUGAGUCCGGGAGAGGUGAGUGGAACUGCGAGUGUAGAGGUGAAAUUCGUAGAUAUUCGCAAGAACACCAGUGGCGAAGGCGGCUCACUGGCCCGGUACUGACGCUGAGGUGCGAAAGCGUGGGGAGCAAACAGG
RNAcentral lists this ribosomal RNA (253 nucleotides) under uncultured bacterium. RNAcentral's name for it is "partial 16S ribosomal RNA". It matches the Rfam family "Bacterial small subunit ribosomal RNA", at positions 524 to 776 of the family's 1533-position model. The record is from RNAcentral.